ACCCUAGCCAUCGGGCCAACUGAUAGCUAUAUCCGUAGUGUCAGGUUCGCCUGACUAUGAUCGUAGAGGCAGAGUGGAAUAGGCGUUUAGGACGCGGGUUCAAUUCCCGCCGCCUCCACCACAAGCACACCGGCCGCCAAGUACCGCAGGCGGAUCUCAAGAGCGACGGGCUUCGUUGGGCUAGGCGCUGUUCCGGUGUGCUUUUGAUGGGGGCGACUUGGGUUCGACUAGGCGUAAUAAAGACUAGGCUGCGAUUAGGCUGAGCUACGGCCUUGAUAGUGCAAAUUCACAAAUGCCAACGACAACGUUGACAUGGGUGCGGUGCGCCUCGCGGCGUAACCAUCCGGGGCUCGGGGAAGCCUAGCAACAGAAACGGCACCUU
This 382-nucleotide transfer-messenger RNA is filed under the name Microvirga puerhi. It matches the Rfam family "Alphaproteobacteria transfer-messenger RNA". Rfam says of the family: Bacterial tmRNA, also known as 10Sa RNA or SsrA, is named for its dual tRNA and mRNA-like properties. The record is from RNAcentral. Lineage: Bacteria; Pseudomonadati; Pseudomonadota; Alphaproteobacteria; Hyphomicrobiales; Methylobacteriaceae.